Long non-coding RNA from Ipomoea nil (Japanese morning glory), 95 nucleotides. RefSeq lists it as uncharacterized. The transcript has 3 exons. Lineage: Eukaryota; Viridiplantae; Streptophyta; Magnoliopsida; Solanales; Convolvulaceae. The record is from RefSeq and is a predicted model, not a curated record.
UGAUUGGGUAACAUUUGAUAUUUUGAAGAAUCAUGCAAGUCAUUAUCCAGUUGUUUGGACAAAGAUACCGCCUACAACCUACCCUUUCACUUUCA